This 69-nucleotide transfer RNA is filed under the name Mantidactylus guttulatus. RNAcentral's name for it is "tRNA-Val". It matches the Rfam family "tRNA". Rfam says of the family: Transfer RNA (tRNA) molecules are approximately 80 nucleotides in length. Their secondary structure includes four short double-helical elements and three loops (D, anti-codon, and T loops). Further hydrogen bonds mediate the characteristic L-shaped molecular structure. tRNAs have two regions of fundamental functional importance: the anti-codon, which is responsible for specific mRNA codon recognition, and the 3' end, to which the tRNAs corresponding amino acid is attached (by aminoacyl-tRNA synthetases). tRNAs cope with the degeneracy of the genetic code in two manners: having more than one tRNA (with a specific anti-codon) for a particular amino acid; and 'wobble' base-pairing, i.e. permitting non-standard base-pairing at the 3rd anti-codon position. The record is from RNAcentral. Lineage: Eukaryota; Metazoa; Chordata; Amphibia; Anura; Mantellidae.
CAAAGUGUAGCUUAACUAAAGCCCUUCGCUUACACCGAAAAAACACCUGUUGAACUCAGGUCACUUUGA